CCUUCGGGUUUUAGUGGCGAACGGGUGAGUAACACGUAAGCAACCUGCCUUUAAGACGUGGAUAACAAUUGGAAACAGUUGCUAAGACAGGAUAGGAAAUUAAGAGGCAUCUUUUAAUUUUUAAAAGACCUUUUUCGAAAGGUAUACUUAAAGAGGGGCUUGCGCCACAUUAGUUAGUUGGUAAGGUAAAGGCUUACCAAGACGAUGAUGUGUAGCUGGACUGAGAGGUCGAACAGCCACAUUGGGACUGAGACACGGCCCAAACUCCUACGGGAGGCAGCAGUAAGGAAUUUUUGGCAAUGGAGGAAACUCUGACCGAGCGACGUCGCGUGAACAAUGAAGUACUUCGGUAUGUAAAGUUCUUUUAUUGAAAAAGAAAAAAUAGUGGAAAAACUAUCUUGACAUUAUUCAAUGAAUAAGCCCCGGCUAAUUAUGUGCCAGCAGCCGCGGUAAUACAUAAGGGGCGAGCGUUAUCCGGAAUUAUUGGGCGUAAAGGGUGCGUAGGCGGUUUGAUAAGUCUAUAGUUUAAAUGCAGUGCUUAACGCUGUAGCGCUAUAGAAACUGUCUGACUAGAGUUAGAUAGAGGCAAGCGGAAUUCCAUGUGUAGCGGUAAAAUGCGUAAAUAUAUGGAGGAACACCAGAGGCGUAGGCGGCUUGCUGGGUCUUAACUGACGCUGAGGCACGAAAGCGUGGGGAGCAAACAGGAUUAGAUACCCUGGUAGUCCACGCCGUAAACGAUGAGUACUAAGUGUCGGGUUUCGGCUCGGUACUGAAGUUAACACAUUAAGUACUCCGCCUGAGUAGUACGUACGCAAGUAUGAAACUUAAAGGAAUUGACGGGACCCCGCACAAGCGGUGGAUCAUGUUGUUUAAUUCGAAGAUACACGAAAAACCUUACCAGGUCUUGACAUAAUUUUGCGACAUUAUAGAAAUAUAAUGAAGGUUAUCAGAAUUACAGGUGGUGCAUGGUUGUCGUCAGCUCGUGUCGUGAGAUGUUAGGUUAAGUCCUAAAACGAGCGCAACCCUUGUCGUUAGUUGCGACCACGUAAUGGUGAGCACUUUAGCGAGACUGCCAAUGAAAAAUUGGAGGAAGGUGAGGAUUACGUCAAAUCAUCAUGCCCCUUAUGAUCUGGGCUACAAACGUGAUACAAUGGCUGUUACAAAGAGUAGCUACAACGUGAGUUUUUAGCCAAUCUCAAAAAAACAGUCUCAGUUCGGAUUGAAGUCUGCAACUCGACUUCAUGAAGUUGGAAUCGCUAGUAAUCGCGAAUCAGCAUGUCGCGGUGAAUACGUUCUCGGGGUUUGUACACACCGCCCGUCAAACCACGAAAGUUGAUAAUACCCGAAAGCGGUCGCCUAACUUCGUCAGAAGAGGGAGCCGUCUAAGGUAGGAUCGAUGAUUGGGGUUAAGUCGUAACAAGGUAUCCCUACCGGAAGGUGGGGAUGGAUCACCUCCUUUCUAAGGAAACAUAGAAUCAUCAUCUUCAGUUUUGAAAGACUUAGUUAGGUUUUUCUAAUUUGAAAAACUUAGUUAAGUUUUUCUCAUUUCUUUUAUUUUUUGGUAUCCUGGGCCUAUAGCUCAGUUGGUUAGAGCACACGCCUGAUAAGCGUGAGGUCGGUGGUUCAAGUCCAUUUAGGCCCACCAAACGUUUUGCUAAAAAAAACGUGUUAUCAAAAAAAAGUUCUUUGAAAAGUAGAUAAACAAGAAAACAAUAGCCA
RNAcentral lists this ribosomal RNA (1719 nucleotides) under Periwinkle virescence phytoplasma. Its description in RNAcentral is "bacterial SSU rRNA". The stretch from base 1 to 1459 matches the Rfam family "Bacterial small subunit ribosomal RNA". The record is from RNAcentral. Lineage: Bacteria; Bacillati; Mycoplasmatota; Mollicutes; Acholeplasmatales; Acholeplasmataceae.